RNAcentral lists this small RNA (591 nucleotides) under Arabidopsis thaliana (thale cress). RNAcentral describes it as "ATSL212610". The record is from RNAcentral. Lineage: Eukaryota; Viridiplantae; Streptophyta; Magnoliopsida; Brassicales; Brassicaceae.
GAAAAUAUCAUGAGACGAGAAAUAUAGCGGGACAGGUUUGGAUUGAUAUGAAAUAUAGCAGGACGAGUUUGGAUUGAUAUAACACAGGUUAAAUAUUUAUUUUAUUAUUUUAUCAUCACCAAUUGUUUUAGUUACAACAUUAAUAUAAUACUAGAUUUUAACCCGCGGUAUACCGUGGGGACAAUUUAUUUUUUAAAGUUAGUAUAUAUAAAAAUUUGUAAAUUGUAUCUAUCUAUAAAAUAUUUUUAUUUUAUAGUUUACAACUUUAUUAAGCAACGUCCUGCCAAACCCGUCCCGCAAAACCCAUCCUGCAAAAAAACCAUUUAUUUUAUUAAUGUUGAUUUUAUUUAUGAAUCAUUGUCUAAAUAUUUUAGUCGAUGCGGGAUGUUGAACCCACACAUUUUUUGCUAAUUGGUUAAUAUAUGUUCAUUUUUAAAAUUUUGAAUCACAAAAUAUGACGAAACUUUUUUUGAGAUUUUUUAAACUAUAUAUUAUAUAAUGAUGUUAAAUUUUUUGAUAUAUUAAACUUUUUAUAAGUUUAAAUAUUAAUAAUAUUUUAUAAAGUUUAAAUAUAUAAAUAAUAAUAUUUAA